CAAUAGCGUAUAUUAAAGUUGUUGCAGUUAAAAAGCUCGUAGUUGGAUUUCUGGUGGGAGCGAUCGGUCUGGCGCUUAGCGCGAGUACUUGCAUCGUCUCCGGCCAUCCUUGGGGAGAGUCUGUCUGGCAUUAGGUUGUCGGGCAGAGGAUCCUCAUCGUUUACUGUGAAAAAAUUAGAGUGUUCAAAGCAGGCUUAUGCCGUUGAAUAUAUUAGCAUGGAAUAAUAAGAUAGGACUUUGGUACUAUUUUGUUGGUUUGCGCACCAAAGUAAUGAUUCAUAGGGACAGUUGGGGGUAUUCGUAUUCCGUUGUCAGAGGUGAAAUUCUUGGAUUUACGGAAGACGAACUACUGCGAAAGCAUUUACCAAGGAUGUUUUCAUUAA
This 383-nucleotide ribosomal RNA is filed under the name uncultured eukaryote. RNAcentral's name for it is "partial 18S ribosomal RNA". It matches the Rfam family "Eukaryotic small subunit ribosomal RNA", at positions 592 to 976 of the family's 1831-position model. The record is from RNAcentral.